RNAcentral lists this ribosomal RNA (607 nucleotides) under uncultured bacterium. RNAcentral describes it as "bacterial SSU rRNA". It matches the Rfam family "Bacterial small subunit ribosomal RNA", at positions 338 to 955 of the family's 1533-position model. The record is from RNAcentral.
CCUACGGGAGGCAGCAGUGGGGAAUAUUGCACAAUGGGCGCAAGCCUGAUGCAGCAACGCCGCGUGAGGGAUGACGGCCUUCGGGUUGUAAACCUCUUUUAGCAGGGAAGAAGCGAGAGUGACGGUACCUGCAGAAAAAGCACCGGCUAACUACGUGCCAGCAGCCGCGGUAAUACGUAGGGUGCAAGCGUUAUCCGGAAUUAUUGGGCGUAAAGAGCUCGUAGGCGGUUUGUCGCGUCUGCUGUGAAAUCUGGGGGCUCAACCCCCAGCCUGCAGUGGGUACGGGCAGACUAGAGUGCGGUAGGGGAGAUUGGAAUUCCUGGUGUAGCGGUGGAAUGCGCAGAUAUCAGGAGGAACACCGAUGGCGAAGGCAGAUCUCUGGGCCGUAACUGACGCUGAGGAGCGAAAGGGUGGGGAGCAAACAGGCUUAGAUACCCUGGUAGUCCACCCGUAAACGUUGGGAACUAGUUGUGGGGUCCAUUCCACGGAUUCCGUGACGCAGCUAACGCAUUAAGUUCCCCGCUGGGGAGUACGGCCGCAAGGCUAAAACCUCAAAAGUAGUAGUACGGACGUCGNGAGAGCGACGACGACGACGACGGAGGAGGAG